GACGAACGCUGGCGGCGUGCUUAACACAUGCAAGUCGAACGGAAAGGCCCUGCUUUUGUGGGGUGCUCGAGUGGCGAACGGGUGAGUAACACGUGAGUAACCUGCCCUUGACUUUGGGAUAACUUCAGGAAACUGGGGCUAAUACCGGAUAGGAGCUCCUGCUGCAUGGUGGGGGUUGGAAAGUUUCGGCGGUUGGGGAUGGACUCGCGGCUUAUCAGCUUGUUGGUGGGGUAGUGGCUUACCAAGGCUUUGACGGGUAGCCGGCCUGAGAGGGUGACCGGCCACAUUGGGACUGAGAUACGGCCCAGACUCCUACGGGAGGCAGCAGUGGGGAAUAUUGCACAAUGGGCGGAAGCCGGAUGCAGCAACGCCGCGUGCGGGAUGACGGCUUUCGGGUUGUAAACCGCUUUCGCCUGUGACGAAGCGUGAGCGACGGUAAUGGGUAAAGAAGCACCGGCUAACUACGUG
This 468-nucleotide ribosomal RNA is filed under the name uncultured bacterium. Its description in RNAcentral is "partial 16S ribosomal RNA". It matches the Rfam family "Bacterial small subunit ribosomal RNA", at positions 28 to 507 of the family's 1533-position model. The record is from RNAcentral.